This is a long non-coding RNA of Oreochromis aureus, 1766 nucleotides long. The record is from Ensembl. Lineage: Eukaryota; Metazoa; Chordata; Actinopteri; Cichliformes; Cichlidae.
CAAAAUCAACCAAUAAAACAGGGUUUGGAAACUUGAUGACAAAGUGCUUACUUUUGCCCUAUAAGACUGCAGCCAGUAGUUGUGAAAGAAACAAAAAAGUGAGACAGUUGUAAAACUGUCAUCCUUUCAUUCGUUCACAGUUCCACAUUUUGGACUCAAAGAAGUCAGAGAUGCAACCAUGUCUUUUGUUGUGAUGGUGGCACUGCUGUUCUGUUCUGAGACACUGGAUAGGAAACUUUCUAAUUAAACGGUCACAUCCUGUGUUUGGAGAGGAGGAUAAUAUAACUCAUGAUCUUGUGGAGGCUGACUUUGAUAUUAGUGACUGGACUGCAAUUGCAAAUCUGAGCGACAUGUUCAUGGAAACUGGAGACUAUUAUGAUUAUGGUGACUGGCAGUGGAAAGCAGAUCCUUUGUCUCCAGUUAACCUGACAGUGGACUCAGUGUCCAGCAGCUCAGACUCCUGUAACCUUACUGUGAGCUGUAGUACAAAUUACUUUGACAUCAUCAGCAUUUUUAAAUGUGAUAGCAAAACCUGCUAUCAAGAGGGAGGAGAACAAAGAGAGGAAAUGUGGUGGCCCACUGCUUUUUUUCAUGUCUACCUGUCAGAUAGAUCCAUCAUAUGUAACCAUAGCAAUACAGUAAAUUGGACCAAGGACAUGAUAGAGAUGGAUCAUUUUUGCCCUCAAAAUACUGGCUCUGAGAGUUUCUCUGACGGUGUCUCCUUCUGUAUGGUGAAGACAGUCGUGUUCUCUGUUGGUCUGAUCAUCAUGGUCUUUGCUGUCAUCAGUGUUCACCUCAUAGAGAAACUUCAGAUGCAAAACUAAACAAGUAGUUCUCUGUGAACCAGUUUCACAGAUCACACACACACACACACACACAAAAAACAGUUCACUUGCUGUUAAUUUCAUUAACAUCAAAGCAGCUGAAACAGAUUAACAACCCCCCUGCUGCUUAACUGAUGACAUCACUAUCCUAAUUGUUUAAUUGACUGGAUAUUUAGAAAGGAAUGUAGGGAGUAAUGGGGGGAGACAUGUGGCAAAGGGCCGCUACAUGUGGCAUGUGGCUGCCUGCUGAGCUAAACUGGCACCCAAAUUUAGUUUUUUACUAAUUUAAUGUAAAAUAAGCAAUUUUUUCAUAUUCUGUUAGAGAAAUUAAUGAGUGACACAGUUUGGAUCUGUUUUGAUUUUGUGUGUGUGUGCGUGUGUGUGCGUGUGUGUGUGUGGGGGGGGGUGUUUGUGUUGCAGGUUGUGAGUCUUUAUCAUCUGUGUGGUGAAGAUAGUCGUAUUUGCAUUUGGUCUGAUCAUCGUGUUGCUUGUCAGCACUGUAGAGAAAUUUAAGAAAGAAAAAUAAACAGUGCAAACUUUAAGCUAUAACUUUUUUUGAAGGGAUCUGUGUUUUCUUUAAUUUAUACAGUGCAAAGAGAUCAUCAAUAUCAUUUUGAAAUUUCAGGAAUUUGCAAAUGUUUUAUGAGAAUUGCAGUACAUGUUUUAAAAUCGCUAAUAGAAAAUUCACUUAUCACAUUUUCAUUUUACACAUUUGAAUGUCAAUGCAAAUUUGCUUUAAAAGAACUCCACAAAGCAUUUAUGAUAAAUGUGCUAAUUAUUUUUGAUGAAAUAAUCAAAAGUCAAGACUCUGCAUCACAUUGUGAAUAAAUGCUUGUUAAUCCUGAUAAAGCUGUUUUCUGAGUUUUUAUAUUGAAAGUAAACACAAAAGUAUAAAUGAUUCCUUUUCCCAAAAGCAGGUUUAAGGUGUUUCUUCAGUGUGAG